This 647-nucleotide long non-coding RNA is filed under the name Rhinopithecus bieti (black snub-nosed monkey). RNAcentral's name for it is "lncRNA (ENSRBIG00000046339.1)". Lineage: Eukaryota; Metazoa; Chordata; Mammalia; Primates; Cercopithecidae. The record is from RNAcentral.
CUACUAUGUCGUGUGACACAUGGUAGUAUACUUGAAAAAAUGGACAACACAAAGAGGCUGUCACAGUUAUAUCAUUUUGUUAUAAGUAGAUGGAAUUCUUUAGGGCAAGUUUAAGCAUGUUAUAAUUAUAUACCCUAUCAGCUACUUCUACUGUAGCUGUGUUUUGAACUCUCAAGGAUAGUAAUGUAACUUAACCGCCUCAUAUUUUUUUUGCAGACUUGUAAAAAAGGCAAAAAGGGCCCAGCAGAAAAGGGCAAAGGUGGAAAUGGAGGAGGAAAACCUCCUUCUGGUCCAAACCGAAUGAAUGGUCAUCACCAACAGAAUGGAGUGGAAAACAUGAUGUUGUUUGAAGUUGUUAAAAUGGGCAAGAGUGCUAUGCAGUCGGUGGUGGAUGAUUGGAUAGAAUCAUACAAGCAUGACCGAGAUAUAGCACUUCUUGACCUUAUCAACUUUUUUAUUCAGUGUUCAGGCUGUAAAGGAGUUGUCACAGCAGAAAUGUUUAGACAUAUGCAGAACUCUGAGAUAAUUCGUAAAAUGACUGAAGAAUUCGAUGAGGUAACUUACUACCUUAAGUGUUUUGAUAACUUAUACAUGUUUAUCUUGACUUAUUUUUGAAAGUAUUAUUAAAUUGUAAGCAUUAGGCUGGG